AUUGAACGCUGGCGGAAUGCUUUACACAUGCAAGUCGAGCGGCAGCGCGGGGGCAACCCUGGCGGCGAGCGGCGAACGGGUGAGUAAUACAUCGGAACGUGUCCUUGAGUGGGGGAUAGCUCGGCGAAAGCCGGAUUAAUACCGCAUAAGCUCUGCGGAGGAAAGCGGGGGACUGGUAACGGCCUCGCGCUGUUGGAGCGGCCGAUGUCGGAUUAGCUAGUUGGUGGGGUAAAGGCCCACCAAGGCGACGAUCCGUAGCUGGUCUGAGAGGAUGAUCAGCCACACUGGAACUGAGACACGGUCCAGACUCCUACGGGAGGCAGCAGUGGGGAAUUUUGGACAAUGGGGGCAACCCUGAUCCAGCCAUUCCGCGUGAGUGAAGAAGGCC
This 388-nucleotide ribosomal RNA is filed under the name uncultured bacterium. RNAcentral describes it as "bacterial SSU rRNA". It matches the Rfam family "Bacterial small subunit ribosomal RNA", at positions 29 to 416 of the family's 1533-position model. The record is from RNAcentral.